This 440-nucleotide ribosomal RNA is filed under the name uncultured Anaplasma sp. RNAcentral's name for it is "bacterial SSU rRNA". It matches the Rfam family "Bacterial small subunit ribosomal RNA", at positions 127 to 601 of the family's 1533-position model. Lineage: Bacteria; Pseudomonadati; Pseudomonadota; Alphaproteobacteria; Rickettsiales; Anaplasmataceae. The record is from RNAcentral.
UACCUAGUAGUAUGGGAUAGCCACUAGAAAUGGUGGGUAAUACUGUAUAAUCCCUGCGGGGGAAAGAUUUAUCGCUAUUAGAUGAGCCUAUGUUAGAUUAGCUAGUUGGUAGGGUAAAGGCCUACCAAGGCAGUGAUCUAUAGCUGGUCUGAGAGGAUGAUCAGCCACACUGGAACUGAGAUACGGUCCAGACUCCUACGGGAGGCAGCAGUGGGGAAUAUUGGACAAUGGGCGCAAGCCUGAUCCAGCUAUGCCGCGUGAGUGAGGAAGGCCUUAGGGUUGUAAAACUCUUUCAGUGGGGAAGAUAAUGACGGUACCCACAGAAGAAGUCCCGGCAAACUCCGUGCCAGCAGCCGCGGUAAUACGGAGGGGGCAAGCGUUGUUCGGAAUUAUUGGGCGUAAAGGGCAUGUAGGCGGUUCGGUAAGUUAAAGGUGAAAUG